This is a long non-coding RNA of Magallana angulata, 1035 nucleotides long. RefSeq lists it as uncharacterized. Lineage: Eukaryota; Metazoa; Mollusca; Bivalvia; Ostreida; Ostreidae. The record is from RefSeq and is a predicted model, not a curated record. The transcript has 3 exons.
UCAAAAGGUAUAUAGCUUUAGUGAUUUAUCUAAGACACAUUAGGUUAAAUAAUGAAAAAAUUUGCAAGGCGGAAAGGACACAUACUGAACAACUGAUUAUAUACUCAAGUUAACCAAUAUUUGUAUUUUAAGUGAAAGAGGACAUUCAUACUAACUACAUGAAUAUAAUCAAUUUUAUUCUAAUUAUAAUAUUUUAAAUAACUCUUGUGAAGUAUUUUUUUCUAUUAAUAUGUGCAUUACAAAAUAUUCAUGUGAAGAAUAAUUAAAAGUAAUCGAAAAAGUAAAUAUAAUUACACCGAAAUUUUUAGCUGUAAUCGAUUAAAUUACGAUUACAAGUAAUCGAAAAUCUCUUCGAUUACAGAUUACUGGCGAUUACUAGAAAAAGAGUAAUCACUAAAAUCGAUUACGAUUACUCGAUUACGAUUACCCCAUGCCUGGUUCACAUGACAUAACAUGAUUAAAAAACAUUUUUCACCAAAGAUGAAAUCAAAAAGUAUUCAUAUUGUUCCUACGCUACCUGCAUCAUCGGUCAAUUUUUCGAAAAUAAAUGUCAUUCUUCGGUUGACAUUUUUUCACCAAUGAAUAUUGCUUAUAUUAUUACUACAAUAAUAUCACUUUCAAGAUUAUUGUUCGUUUAUUACCACACAAUCUCAUCUGAGAGAGAAUGCUAAUUAUUCAUUGUGUAUGAUUGUAUUUCUUUUCUUUUACUUUUUCUGAAUUACAGAGUAUUUAUUCAACACCUGCACAGAUAUCUGAUCACACCCGUGUAGACCUGGGCUGCAGCUGCUGCAAAUGUAAAACCGCGACAAAAUAUAGUUCAAUUUCGAAAAUGUGAUUACCAUCUACCCAUUGAAACUGGACGUUGGGCGAAACAGGAGAUGAAUUCCAUACCAUUCUUAGCUGUCACAGCAAGAAUGCAUUCAAUGUCUAUCAAAUGACAUGACAUGACAAAAAUGUAUUGCCAAUAGCAGCAGAGCAGGGAAACGGUAUAUUAUUUAGAUUCCACGUUUUCCGUACAAAACAGCUGAUAAUCAA